AUUUGAAAUUCGGCCUCGGCCCGAGUUGUAAUUUGUAGAGGAAGCUUUUGGCGCGGCACCUACUGAGUCCCCUGGAACGGGGCGCCAUAGAGGGUGAGAGCCCCGUAUAGUAGGACGCCUAGCCUGUGUAAAGCUCCUUCGACGAGUCGAGUAGUUUGGGAAUGCUGCUCUAAAUGGGAGGUAAAUUUCUUCUAAAGCUAAAUAUUGGCCAGAGACCGAUAGCGCACAAGUAGAGUGAUCGAAAGAUGAAAAGCACUUUGAAAAGAGGGUUAAACAGCACGUGAAAUUGUUGAAAGGGAAGCGCUUGUGACCAGACUUGCGCCGGGCGGAUCAUCCGGUGUUCUCACCGGUGUACUCCGCCCGGCUCAGGCCAGCAUCGGUUCUCGUGGGGGGAUAAAGGCUCUGGGAACCGUGGCUCCUCCGGGAGUGUUAUAGCCCAGGG
RNAcentral lists this ribosomal RNA (442 nucleotides) under Ramophialophora sp. CBS 124563. RNAcentral describes it as "eukaryotic LSU rRNA". It matches the Rfam family "Eukaryotic large subunit ribosomal RNA", at positions 112 to 567 of the family's 3401-position model. The record is from RNAcentral. Lineage: Eukaryota; Fungi; Ascomycota; Sordariomycetes; Sordariales.